CCCGGUGUUCAGCCACCGGUAGCCAAGGAGUGGUGCGGGAGAAGUAAUUCUCCGGUGCUAAGCUCUCCGUUAAUGUAGCCAUCCUCACGGAUACGAUUCUCCCGUGAGGGAGGACUCGUGACCUCGGUAGUCGUAACCGAGUAGG
Molecule: non-coding RNA, 145 nt
Filed under: Stenotrophomonas maltophilia
Lineage: Bacteria; Pseudomonadati; Pseudomonadota; Gammaproteobacteria; Lysobacterales; Lysobacteraceae
Also listed under: 1 other name
Source: RNAcentral